RNAcentral lists this ribosomal RNA (539 nucleotides) under uncultured Alphaproteobacteria bacterium. RNAcentral's name for it is "bacterial SSU rRNA". The record is from RNAcentral. Lineage: Bacteria; Pseudomonadati; Pseudomonadota; Alphaproteobacteria.
GGGCCAGUGAAUUGUAAUACGACUCACUAUAGGGCGAAUUGGGCCCGACGUCGCAUGCUCCCGGCCGCCAUGGCGGCCGCGGGAAUUCGAUUAGAGUUUGAUCAUGGCUCAGAACGAACGCUGGCGGCAGGCUUAACACAUGCAAGUCGAGCGAACGUAGCAAUACGCGAGCGGCGCACGGGAGAGUAACACGUGGGAACCUACCUUUUGGUUCGGAAUAACGUCGGGAAACUGACGCUAAUACCGGAUAAGCCCUAUGGGGGAAAGAUUUAUUGCCGAAAGAUGGGCCCGCGUUAGAUUAGCUAGUUGGUGAGGUAAUAGCUCACCAAGGCUACGAUCUAUAGCUGGUCUGAGAGGAUGACCAGCCUCACUGGGACUGAGACACGGCCCAGACUCCUACGGGAGGCAGCAGUGGGGAAUAUUGGACAAUGGGGGAAACCCUGAUCCAGCCAUGCCGCGUGAGUGAUGAAGGCCUUCGGGUUGUAAAGCUCUUUUGGUGGGGACGAKRAUGACGGUACCCACAGAAUAAGCUCCGACAG